GAACUAACAGAUUUACUUCGGUAAUGACGUUAGGAAAGCGAGCGGCGGAUGGGUGAGUAACACGUGGGGAACCUGCCCCAUAGUCUGGGAUACCACUUGGAAACAGGUGCUAAUACCGGAUAAGAAAGCAGAUCGCAUGAUCAGCUUUUAAAAGGCGGCGUAAGCUGUCGCUAUGGGAUGGCCCCGCGGUGCAUUAGCUAGUUGGUAAGGUAAAGGCUUACCAAGGCGAUGAUGCAUAGCCGAGUUGAGAGACUGAUCGGCCACAUUGGGACUGAGACACGGCCCAAACUCCUACGGGAGGCAGCAGUAGGGAAUCUUCCACAAUGGACGCAAGUCUGACGGAGCAACGCCCCGUGAGUGAAGAAGGUUUUCGGAUCGUAAAGCUCUGUUGUUGGUGAAGAAGGAUAGAGGUAGUAACUGGCCUUUAUUUGACGGUAAUCAACCAGAAAGUCACGGCUAACUACGUGCCAGCAGCCGCGGUAAUACGUAGGUGGCAAGCGUUGUCCGGAUUUAUUGGGCGUAAAGCGAGCGCAGGCGGAAGAAUAAGUCUGAUGUGAAAGCCCUCGGCUUAACCGAGGAACUGCAUCGGAAACUGUUUUUCUUGAGUGCAGAAGAGGAGAGUGGAACUCCAUGUGUAGCGGUGGAAUGCGUAGAUAUAUGGAAGAACACCAGUGGCGAAGGCGGCUCUCUGGUCUGCAACUGACGCUGAGGCUCG
Molecule: ribosomal RNA, 715 nt
Filed under: uncultured Bacilli bacterium
Lineage: Bacteria; Bacillati; Bacillota; Bacilli
Description: bacterial SSU rRNA
Rfam family: Bacterial small subunit ribosomal RNA
Source: RNAcentral